GACGAACGCUGGCGGCGUGCUUAACACAUGCAAGUCGAACGGAAAGGCCCUGCUUGCCGGGUACUCGAGUGGCGAACGGGUGAGUAACACGUGGGUGAUCUGCCCUGCACUUCGGGAUAAGCUUGGGAAACUGGGUCUAAUACCGGAUAGGAGCCAUCUUUAGUGUGGUGGUUGGAAAGUUUUUUCGGUGUAGGAUGAGCUCGCGGCCUAUCAGCUUGUUGGUGGGGUAAUGGCCUACCAAGGCGGCGACGGGUAGCCGGCCUGAGAGGGUGUACGGCCACAUUGGGACUGAGAGACGGCCCAGACUCCUACGGGAGGCAGCAGUGGGGAAUAUUGCACAAUGGGCGCAAGCCUGAUGCAGCGACGCCGCGUGGGGGAUGAAGGCCUUCGGGUUGUAAACUCCUUUCGCUAGGGACGAAGCUUUUUUGUGACGGUACCUAGACAAGAAGCACCGGCUAACUACGUG
RNAcentral lists this ribosomal RNA (466 nucleotides) under uncultured bacterium. RNAcentral's name for it is "partial 16S ribosomal RNA". It matches the Rfam family "Bacterial small subunit ribosomal RNA", at positions 28 to 507 of the family's 1533-position model. The record is from RNAcentral.